This 496-nucleotide ribosomal RNA is filed under the name uncultured bacterium. RNAcentral's name for it is "partial 16S ribosomal RNA". It matches the Rfam family "Bacterial small subunit ribosomal RNA", at positions 28 to 506 of the family's 1533-position model. The record is from RNAcentral.
GAUGAACGCUGGCGGCGUGCCUAAUACAUGCAAGUCGAGCGAACAGACGAGGAGCUUGCUCCUCUGACGUUAGCGGCGGACGGGUGAGUAACACGUGGAUAACCUACCUAUAAGACUGGGAUAACUUCGGGAAACCGGAGCUAAUACCGGAUAAUAUAUUGAACCGCAUGGUUCAAUAGUGAAAGACGGUUUUGCUGUCACUUAUAGAUGGAUCCGCGCCGCAUUAGCUAGUUGGUAAGGUAACGGCUUACCAAGGCGACGAUGCGUAGCCGACCUGAGAGGGGGAGCGGGCAAAAGGGAAAUGGGGAACGGGCCAGACCCCUAGGGGAGGCAGGAGGAGGGAAUUUUCCGGAAUGGGAGAAAGGCUGAAGGAGCAAAGGCGGGGGGGGGAAGAAGGUCUUCGGAAUGGAAAACGUUGUUAAUAGGGAAAAAAAAAUGGGGAAGGAAAUAUGGACGGCUUGACGGUAACUAAUCAGAAAGCCAAGGCUAAAUAAGU